GACGAACGCUGGCGGCGUGCUUAACACAUGCAAGUCGAACGGGGUUACGAUUGAAACCUAAGUGAAAUAGUAACCUUAGUGGCGGACGGGUGAGUAACGCGUGGAUAACCUGCCUAUCUGACCGGGACAACACCUGGAAACGGGUGCUAAUACCGGAUACGCUCAUAGAUUCAGAAGAAUAGAUGAGGAAAGGGGAAACCCGCAGACAGAUGGGUCCGCGUCCCAUUAGCUAGUUGGAGGUGUAAGAGACCCCCAACGGCGACGAUGGGUAGCCGGCCUGAGAGGGUGAACGGCCACACUGGAACUGAGACACGGUCCAGACUCCUACGGGAGGCAGCAGUGGGGAAUCUUCCGCAAUGGGCGCAAGCCUGACGGAGCAACGCCGCGUGAGUGAAGAAGGCCUUCGGUUGUAAACUACUGUCAUCAGGGAAGAAGAAAGUAGACGGUACCUGAGGAGGAAGACCCCGGCGUAACUACGUGCCAGCAGCCGCGGUAAACGUACGUACGCGUCGCUAGACGGCGGCGGUCGA
This 530-nucleotide ribosomal RNA is filed under the name uncultured bacterium. RNAcentral's name for it is "bacterial SSU rRNA". It matches the Rfam family "Bacterial small subunit ribosomal RNA", at positions 30 to 543 of the family's 1533-position model. The record is from RNAcentral.